GUCCCUUUUGUGCAGCUGACCACAAUUCUUGACUGAAUGUUGUGUCUCUCAAUUCAAACCGUAAACCAGGCCGGAUGUUGCUAUAUUUAUUAUUGGCCAUGUAAAUACGAUACUUGAGAGAAAUGCCUUUGUCUGACAGAUAGAUGGACUGCUGAGUAGCUGUUUUAAGUCCAAUGCUACACUCGACAGCUGCAACGUCGAUACCCAGCACGUCAACGUUGUGGGCGUAAAAAUAGACGACAGUAUGGAACUUAUCGAAAAUGGUACCGUUACCCACUAAUCGAAUACCGAACCGGAAAGUUUUAUGACCGUCAGAAAUUUCACACGUUUCGCUUUCCACACUGAAAAAUGGGGAAACGACUUUAAUGUUAGUAUUCGGCACUUUGGCGUCACCACUCGUGCUAAGCCAUUCGUAAUCUCGAAAAACGAAUUCAUUUUCCUUCAACAACAUGAUGACAAAGCUCUUGAUGAACUGACGUAUGAUUCAAGUCAGGCCAAACGACUAAUGGAAUUGAUCAAUAGGAUGGGAUCGACGUUGACGAAUCGUUUCAAAACGAAUGAUCGUCUCGAGUAUUGCAUUAAGUGACGAGAGAGAAAACAGAAAGAUGUGGAUCGCAAACGGUGGUGCUUAGCAAAAUAAUUAAUGGCCUUGGCAAAUUUUUAUCUCGAGCUGAUCCGUGAGUGGGGGGAAAUUAUUUCUUCUAGCUAUACUUUUCAGUGGUUUACAAUACAGUCACGCACAUCAUCGUGACGUGAAUUAUGUUGUCGACCCUCACGGAAAAACGGUUCACGCGAUGAAAAUGGCAAGACAUUGACGUCAGGUUAGACCUUCGUUUGGUGAUACUCGGAUUGUCUGAAAACCCUUGUUACUCUUGAAGGAUAAAGCCCUUCGUAGAGCACAUUCCUAAAACCUUUAGGAAAAUUAGGUAAAACAUGUUUUUAUUUUAAACCAAAUGUCUUCUAAUUUACGAUUUCAAAAAUCUCAUUUCCGUACUGUCAAAAGGAUAAUACAAAUACUGGCUGUGUAUAAAUCCGUAAUAUAACAAAAAAAAACGUUUGCGGAAAUUAUCAUGUGGCCGGAAAACUAUUCAAAAAAUAACAUGAAAACAUUUUAGUUUGGCCAUGAAAAGAGAAUACUUGCAAAUAGACAUUCCACAUGUCAGAAAUGAUGUCGUGUCUGGCUCAAUCAAUGGACUUGCCCUUUUUUUUCGUAAUAGACGAUUUCGGAACGUCAUCGUCUGGUAUGAAAACUGGAUUGUUCAAUCCGUGGUCGACUCCACAUUUGCCUACAAUGUCGGGCUCGUCUGGCAUUUUCUUUUCAAUUUUCUCUCUAUUCAAAUGUCGACGGCGAAUGUAGAAAACGUUAAAGAAAAAGUACAAUACACCGACAAAGAGA
Long non-coding RNA from Daphnia magna, 1396 nucleotides. RefSeq lists it as uncharacterized. The record is from RefSeq and is a predicted model, not a curated record. NCBI's taxonomy places the organism in Eukaryota, Metazoa, Arthropoda, Branchiopoda, Diplostraca, Daphniidae. The transcript has 2 exons.